RNAcentral lists this ribosomal RNA (253 nucleotides) under uncultured bacterium. RNAcentral describes it as "partial 16S ribosomal RNA". It matches the Rfam family "Bacterial small subunit ribosomal RNA", at positions 524 to 776 of the family's 1533-position model. The record is from RNAcentral.
UACGGAGGGUGCAAGCGUUAUCCGGAUUCACUGGGUUUAAAGGGUGCGUAGGUGGGCUGGUAAGUCAGUGGUGAAAUCCCCGAGCUUAACUUGGGAACUGCCAUUGAUACUAUCAGUCUUGAAUACCGUGGAGGUCAGCGGAAUAUGUCAUGUAGCGGUGAAAUGUUUAGAUAUGACAUAGAACACCAAUUGCGAAGGCAGCUGGCUACACGAAUAUUGACACUGAGGCACGAAAGCGUGGGGAUCAAACAGG